RNAcentral lists this transfer RNA (76 nucleotides) under Deltaproteobacteria bacterium. RNAcentral describes it as "tRNA-Gly". It matches the Rfam family "tRNA". Rfam says of the family: Transfer RNA (tRNA) molecules are approximately 80 nucleotides in length. RNAcentral also lists the same sequence under 2 other names. The record is from RNAcentral. Lineage: Bacteria; Pseudomonadati; Myxococcota; Myxococcia.
GCGGGAAUAGCUCAGUUGGUAGAGCUUCACGUUGCCAACGUGACUGUCGCGGGUUCGAGUCCCGUUUCCCGCUCCA